GUGUCAGCAGCCGCGGUAAUACGUAGGGUGCAAGCGUUAAUCGGAAUUACUGGGCGUAAAGCGUGCGCAGGCGGUUUUGUAAGUCUGUUGUGAAAUCCCCGGGCUCAACCUGGGAAUGGCAAUGGAGACUGCAAGGCUAGAGUUUGGCAGAGGGGGGUAGAAUUCCACGUGUAGCAGUGAAAUGCGUAGAUAUGUGGAGGAACACCGAUGGCGAAGGCAGCCCCCUGGGUCAAAACUGACGCUCAUGCACGAAAGCGUGGGGAGCAAACAGGAUUAGAUACCCGAGUAGUCC
This 292-nucleotide ribosomal RNA is filed under the name uncultured bacterium. Its description in RNAcentral is "partial 16S ribosomal RNA". It matches the Rfam family "Bacterial small subunit ribosomal RNA", at positions 505 to 796 of the family's 1533-position model. The record is from RNAcentral.